GCAGUAUCUCGUUUGGCGAGGCUCCUAUACAAACACAGGUUACUGAUCUGACGACAUCGAGAGAUGCCCAAGGUUAAGACAGGCUUUAUCGGAUUAAGGUUCAGCCCAAGGUAACUUCUGAACUGUUCUUCAGAUACAUUGUUCAGAUACGUUGUAUAGUGCUAAAACCUGGACGCGGAGAUAGGCU
This 187-nucleotide small RNA is filed under the name Serratia fonticola. Its description in RNAcentral is "Magnesium sequence". It matches the Rfam family "M-box riboswitch aptamer (ykoK leader)". Rfam says of the family: M-box riboswitch, also know as ykoK leader is described as a metaloregulatory RNA that sense divalent metals and function as a genetic control element of genes related to divalent metal transport in bacteria. It was first reported upstream of the B.subtilis ykoK gene and genes with related functions in other bacteria. Lineage: Bacteria; Pseudomonadati; Pseudomonadota; Gammaproteobacteria; Enterobacterales; Yersiniaceae. The record is from Rfam by way of RNAcentral.